Pimephales promelas (fathead minnow) is the source of this 518-nucleotide non-coding RNA. NCBI's taxonomy places the organism in Eukaryota, Metazoa, Chordata, Actinopteri, Cypriniformes, Leuciscidae. The record is from RefSeq and is a predicted model, not a curated record.
GCUUCCUUGUAUUAAACCCUUUGUUUGUAAAUUCAAUGUAAUAUUGUUGGCUCUGUGACACAUUGCAUGUUAUUUUCUUGAAGAUCAUCAUAGAUGUCCUGCUGCACCCCCUGGGGUCCAAGACAAUCUCCACGGCUAUGACCUCGACUAUAGACAAGAUCUUGAUGCCAUCCACACCCAGUACAUGACGAAGGUUUUCUGGGAUCCACAGUGGAAGGCAUCAAGGCGUGAGAUGUUGGCUGGACAGAUGUACCUGUACACCACACCGACCUCUGCUUUUACAUGGAUGGCGGAUUACUAUCAUGUUCUGUAAAGGUUUCAUUAUAGCAAAACAGAGCACCUGUGACAGUGGAAUCUGUAGGUGUAACGUAGUCAGUUAAAAGUAGUCAGGUGUAAAGUAGUCACAGAGAGAACGUUUUUUUUUUUUUAAGUUUCAAACUUUUUUCUCUUUCACAAAAAACACUGCAGUUACAGCUUUUCAAAUUCUUCAUUGGAGGUGUACAAAUAAUUUUCUUUUU